Long non-coding RNA from Rattus norvegicus (Norway rat), 1395 nucleotides. RefSeq lists it as uncharacterized. The record is from RefSeq and is a predicted model, not a curated record. Lineage: Eukaryota; Metazoa; Chordata; Mammalia; Rodentia; Muridae.
GUCACUCUCGCUGCGCUCCGAGGUCACUGGCUCGCGGUCAGGUACCUGGAGCCAUGGAGACUCCCUGUUGCCAAAUGUUGUGGUUUAAAUCCAGUCUCUGUUUUUCCUUCCUGGAGACCAGGGCUUUCCUGAGACUCAUCCACACACACAGCUCUUCCUUUGUGCUCUGAAGUCAUUUCCUGCAAAGACAGCUCCCCCGGGAGGUCCGAGUCCCGAGGUCAAGCCCUCAGCACCCAGUCUCUUCCUGAAAGCUUAUCUGGCAACUUAGACCUAAGUAUGAGAAACUACCGGAUCAAGUCCAAAGGCUGCUUUGCAAAACCACCAAGGCCGAAAGCAAUGCUUCAAAGGUGCGACACAAACUCACACUACCCAUGUUCUCCAGCUGGGGGAGAUCGAAGGCUGAUGAUGAAGUCUUGUUGGAGGCUCCUCAUUCCGUGGUUGGCUGAAGCCCACGUGUGUCCUCCACCUGAGGCCUGAGCUUUUCCGUAACCUAGAGGCUGGGUUCCAAAAGCAGGGGAAGGAGCAAGAGGGAGAGGAGGAAGGGAGGGGGAGAAUGGGGAGGAGAGAAGAAAAGGAGAAAGCGGGAGAGGGGGAUGGGGCAGAAAAGGAGGGAGCCAGGUUAGAGAUAAGACAAGUGGGACAAAAUAUAGAAAACAGUAGAAACCAUGAAUUAUAAAGAAAACCACUGAUGGCCCAGUCUUCUUCAGAUUAAGGAAUGGGAUUUGACACUUUCUAAAAGCUGAUUUCCUGGAAGAUAAUUUACAUACCAUACAACCUAACCAUUUAAAGUGCAACAUUAUCAUUUUGCUAUGUUCACAGAGGCACAGCAAUUCAUUUAAAACAUCGUCACCAUCCCACACUGAGCUCUUGCUUUCCUUAGCAUGGGCAGUAGCAGUAGUGACUGUCCCCUGGACUGCCCAGGUCUACCUUCUGUCUAUGUACAGUUGCCAGCUCUGUAACGUUGAGAUGUCUCCAAAGCACAGGGUUGUGUUAGGAGCCAUUGUCUCAUCUCACAACGGAUAGAAGUGGGGGUAGGGGGUGAGCGUCUGGUCAGUUGGACCCAACUAUUCAUGCCUAGGAUUAGAGACCAAGGGAAGCUGGCAGCCCUGAGGUCUUCCGCAUUGUCAGAAUUUAGGGAUUUGGGUCCAUUUCUGAGAGACACAAGAAGGUUAAUAUUAAACUUCGGAGUCUGAAGCCUCGGAAGGAGUUAGAGAAGAAAUCUAAUUCCAAGACACUGUCUCGUGCAAAGCACAAGAAAGUUUUCCUUUACCUGUUGAUCUUGAGACUCAAACUGCCUUGGAUAACACCCAACAUAUGGGAAAUGCACAGGAAACCCAUGGGGGUGCAUAUUCUGUAUUCUAUGAUGAAGGCUCAAAACACAGCUUAUUGAGGGUU